UGAACGCUGGCGGCGUGCUUAACACAUGCAAGUCGACCGAAGUGUUUAUUCAAAGUUCUUCGGGAUAGAGAAUAAAUUACUUAGUGGCGGACGGGUGAGUAGCGCGUGGGUAACCUGCCUCACACAGGGGGAUAACAGUUGGAAACGACUGCUAAUACCGCAUAAGACCACAGCACCGCAUGGUGCAGGGUAAAAGAUUUAUCGGUGUGAGAUGGACCUGCGUCUGAUUAGAUAGUUGGUGGGGUAGAAGCCUACCAAGUCAACGAUCAGUAGCCGACCUGAGAGGGUGAUCGGCCACAUUGGGACUGAGACACGGCCCAAACUCCUACGGGAGGCAGCAGUGGGGAAUAUUGGACAAUGGGGGAAACCCUGAUCCAGCAACGCCGCGUGAGUGAAGAAGUAUUUCGGUAUGUAAAGCUCUAUCAGCAGGGAAGAAAAUGACGGUACCUGACUAAGAAGCCCCGGCUAACUACGUG
Molecule: ribosomal RNA, 476 nt
Filed under: uncultured bacterium
Lineage: Bacteria
Description: partial 16S ribosomal RNA
Rfam family: Bacterial small subunit ribosomal RNA
Source: RNAcentral